CAGUCGCCGCGGUAAUACGUAGGUGGCAAGCGUUGUCCGGAAUUAUUGGGCGUAAAGGGCUCGCAGGCGGUUUCUUAAGUCUGAUGUGAAAGCCCCCGGCUCAACCGGGGAGGGUCAUUGGAAACUGGGAAACUUGAGUGCAGAAGAGGAGAGUGGAAUUCCACGUGCAGCGGUGAAAUGCGUAGAGAUGUGGAGGAACACCAGUGGCGAAGGCGACUCUCUGGUCUGUAACUGACGCUGAGGAGCGAAACCGUGGGGAGCGAACAGGAUUAGAUACCCCAGUAGUCCCUGUCUCUUAUAC
Molecule: ribosomal RNA, 301 nt
Filed under: uncultured bacterium
Lineage: Bacteria
Description: partial 16S ribosomal RNA
Rfam family: Bacterial small subunit ribosomal RNA
Source: RNAcentral